GCAGGUAAGAAGCUCAGGCCUGCAGGUGAGCCAGUGUCCCAUAAGACUCACUCCCCUUGGCUUUUCCCCAUUCGGUAAGCAGGUAAGAAGCUCAGGCCUGCAGGUGAGUGAAGGGGCUGCUAGACCUCCUCCGUCCAGCUGGGGGAAACGUUUUAGCUACUUUUCAGUCUUUUUCUU
Molecule: long non-coding RNA, 177 nt
Organism: Anguilla rostrata (American eel)
Lineage: Eukaryota; Metazoa; Chordata; Actinopteri; Anguilliformes; Anguillidae
Exons: 2
Source: RefSeq, a predicted model, not a curated record